AUACGUAGGGGGCGAGCGUUGUCCGGAAUGAUUGGGCGUAAAGGGCGCGUAGGCGGCCCGGUAAGUCUGGAGUGAAAGUCCUGCUUUUAAGGUGGGAAUUGCUUUGGAUACUGUCGGGCUUGAGUGCAGGAGAGGUAAGUGGAAUUCCCAGUGUAGCGGUGAAAUGCGUAGAGAUUGGGAGGAACACCGGUGGCGAAGGCGACUUACUGGACUGUAACUGACGCUGAGGCGCGAAAGUGUGGGGAGCAAACAGGAUUAGAUACCCUGGUAGUCCACACUGUAAACGAUGAAUGCUAGGUGUAGGGGGUAUCGACCCCUUCUGUGCCGCAGUUAACACAAUAAGCAUUCCGCCUGGGGAGUACGGCCGCAAGGUUGAAACUCAAAUGAAUUGGCGGGG
Molecule: ribosomal RNA, 397 nt
Filed under: uncultured bacterium
Lineage: Bacteria
Description: partial 16S ribosomal RNA
Rfam family: Bacterial small subunit ribosomal RNA
Source: RNAcentral